GGUCCAUCCCACCCAGUGGCAUCUGUGACACACAGAAAUGAAAAAUCACGAUACCAGUAACAAAAAGAGUUGAUACUCAGGAACACCGACUCGAUUGCCAGCUGCCCCUCUAGUGCUGGAUGGGCAUCUUCUCCUUUAAUCCUCCUCAGGCGCUGUGAGGGAGGCAUGGAGGUCAUCAAAUGUAGUGGAUGUGAGCUUAGGAUAUAGAAUCAGCUGACCUGGCGUCGGAUGCCAGUGUCACCAUGAUAAACUCUAGUAUGUUAGGAAAAUUCUUGAAUGCUCCCCAAAUGGUGCUUCCGUCGCUCUUGGUCCUGUCGUCACUGGUGUGAUGACGCUGUUGAGGGUGCUGUCGUGCUCCCCUGUCUCACGGGGCAGCCGCUGUUUCCAUUGUCAGCUACUGUUGUUAGAAAGUUGUCCUUUUUUUGUUUUCAUUUCUUUUUCUGUGUCAAAAUCUCCUAUCUUACAAAAUAUACCCGUUCGUUCUAAAGUAGAUGUCAGCUAAUUCCUCUUCUACACGGCAGGCCUUCUCACACUUACUUAGCGAUUGUGCCCCCGAACUUCUCUUUUCCAGGGUGCAUAAGCCGCAUUUGAUCUGCAGUCUUUGGAAGGGACCUGUUUCCUGACCUCUGUCUACCCCUGGUUGCCCUGUCCUCAUGCACUAGAACACUCUGGCCUGAGGUCUGGCCAGGGUGAAGCACAAAGGAAGCCUGCUUGCUUUGGGUUUGUAUUUGAUGCUCCAGUUAAUACAGUCUGAGCAUCCUUUAGGUUGCAGAAUUCACAUAACACCUUUUGGUUGAUUUAGAGUUAAUGCCAAUAAUAUAAGGUGUUUUUUUUUUUUUUCAUGGAUUGUUUAAGGCAAUGCUCCAUCUCCUGUACUUCUGCAGCUGGUCUUUUGUUUCAAAAUCUGGUGCUUUCUUAUAGGCCCUGUUGAAUUCAUAAAAAUGAAUAGGGGUUGAAUGGGGAAAAUGUACUUUGUGCUGAGUACUUGGAUGUUAAGAGGGGUUGUGAUCAAACAGGAAGAGUUUCAUGAAUUCCUCUUCAUAUAUUAACUGAAUUCAUAGGCCUCAGAUCCCAAGCCUUCAAAGCCUCAUUCUGGAGUCAUUUUGAAGCUCGGUGAGUUUUACAUGAAAGAAUGCUGAAAAAUCAGUUGCCCUUGGCCCUCCCGUUGGGUAGGCAACUGAGAGUGAGCUUCCAGCCUGUGUAGGGCAUCUUUAAUUUUGUCAGGUGACUAAAUGUGCAGCUCUGCAGCAGGCGUCCGCCAGCUGUGCCCACAUGGCCCACUCAAAUGGACUGCUUUUCAGAGAACAGACUGGGCUCAUCUACCUUGUCUUGGUGCUAAAAUGCCAUGCCAAAAUAUCAUCAUUGGGUUUGAACAUGAGCAUGAAAUCUCCAGCCUCCAAGGGGAGGCGGCUGUGCUUGACAAAGGCCACUCUCAUCGUUCGGGCCAACAGGCUACUUCUGGGGAGGGCCGUGCCCACCGCUGGGCGUGGUACAACAUUGGCUAGGGCCAGGAGCUAACCAGAAGUCCUGCUGAGGAGGCCAGCCAUCUGUCUGCUUACCUUUUAGCUGCAUUUCCUCUCUGUAUUCUCAUGGGUGCUGGUAAGCCCUUUAAGCUUCACUGACCUAUUCUGCCUGUGAGCUGGGAAGCCCCUGCAGGUUCUUAACUUAACCUGAGAGCUUUUCAGAUGCAUCUCCAUGGAAAUGUCUUCUCUUGCUAACAGGCCUUGGUUUGGAUUGUAAUCCCAGAAAACUGUGAAAUGUGCUUGUUGUAUCUGCUGUUUCUGAGAGGUGGCAUAGAGAUCUAAUAGUUGGGGAGCUUAAGACAAGUGGCAAUGAAGAGAAUUUAUCCAGCAGCAUCUGUCAUACUAACAUCCACGCAACCCCAUUGCCGGACCUAGAAAACGACACGCGGCUGGAAGGCGAGGACCCCAUCCCUUCCCGGUCCUGGUGGCUGUUUAAUGUUGGGAAGGGACACAAGUUCAGCGCAAGAAGGAGUACAAGGUUGUAAGAGGUUAUGCAAGUGGGUGCUCAGGACUUUGGUACAGGCUCUAGAGAGAGAAUACCCUAUGGGCCAGAAGGCAGGGCAGCAUCUGGGCUUUCGAGCUGUGUAGGGUUAAGAGUGGUACGAGGAAUGGUGAGAUCUGGGAAUGAGGAUGCAUCAUUGGGAAAACCAGGCACACAGACGUACAAGCAAGCACCUCAACACAUCACAGAAGAUAAAAGCCAGCGGUAUUCAGUCCUCCCUUAAUUUUCCAAUAACUAAAAGCUGCAGGACCACUGUUGCCAAUGGUGAUGGGACACUAGCAUCUUUCUAGUAAGACCUUCUUUCACUGCCCAACAAGAUGGACAGUAUCCCUUUUUCCCAAUAGGAGGGACAGUAUCUCUUUUCAAAGCCAGAGUAGCUAUUUACAUCUACUAACACUUGUCUGAAAGAACAUCUGGAAAAACCAUCAAAAUAGUGGGUGACAUAUCCCAAUGGCUGGCCCACAGAAGGUGAAAGUCACCUAUAUUGUUUAUAAUUUCUAGAGCCCUUGCCGUGUGCCGAACACUCUCCCAAGAGCCAUGUGUAUAUGUGCAUCGUUUCAGCUAAUCCUCACGACGACCUCUGAGGGUAGGUAACGUUAUCAUCCCCAUUCACAGACAGAACAAGGUACCGAGAGACUGAGGGCAGAGAAUGAAUAAAUAAUGGAAUGAGGCUGUGAGCCAGGCAUUCUGACUCCAGGAUAAGAACAGCAUUUAAACGAUCUUCUAUAUGUAAUAAAAUCAUCGAAUCUGCACGGCGGUCAACCACUUGCAAAUAACUUUCUCACGUGAGGGCUCCUUUGUCCUUCACAACUUUUCUGGGAAAUAAAGAGUAUCGUGGUUAUAAGAAGCCAGGGCAUAUGUGUGCAUCAAUUCCUUUUUGAAGACUGUGAGUCUGUUUCUGUUUUGUAAAUAAGUUCAUUUGUAUCAUUAGUUUAGAUUCCGCUUAUAAGCGCUAUCAUGUGAUAUUUGUCUCUGUCUCACUUCACUUAGUAUGACAAUCUCUAGGUCCAUCCACGUUGCUGCAAAUGACAUUAUUUCAUUCUUUUUUAUGGCUGAGUAAUGUUCCAUUGUGUAUAUGUACCACAUCUUCUCUAUCCAUUCAUCUGUCAGUGGACAUUUAGGUUGUUUCCAUGUCUUGGCAAUCGUGAAUAGGGCUGCAAUGAACAUAGGAGUGCGUGAAUCCUGUAUAACUGGAUCACCUUGCUGUACACCUGAAACGAACACAACGUUGUAAAUCAACUCUACUCCAAUAUG
RNAcentral lists this long non-coding RNA (3279 nucleotides) under Phocoena sinus (vaquita). RNAcentral's name for it is "lncRNA (ENSPSNG00000003246.1)". Lineage: Eukaryota; Metazoa; Chordata; Mammalia; Artiodactyla; Phocoenidae. The record is from RNAcentral.